RNAcentral lists this long non-coding RNA (269 nucleotides) under Vitis vinifera (wine grape). RNAcentral describes it as "long non-coding RNA (VVIN_LNC001137)". The record is from RNAcentral. Lineage: Eukaryota; Viridiplantae; Streptophyta; Magnoliopsida; Vitales; Vitaceae.
UUUUGAAUUGAAUAAGACCCAUUCUCAUAUUGUGAGUUAAUUGCAUUAUGUCUACAGUUUACAACAAAACAAAACAUGAAAAAAUAAUUGUUUAUCAUUAAAAAUAUUAAAAAAAUCAAAUAUAAUUAAAAUUGGUCCGAUAUAAUUUUUAAAUUAUUUAGUCUUCAUAUAAAAGAAUUAAAAUAAGUAAAAUCACUUUCAAGUAGUAUAUAGAAAUAAUUUAUUGAUUUUAAGUUUUUUUCUUUUUUUUUUCCUUUCCCUUAUUUUUC